This 490-nucleotide ribosomal RNA is filed under the name uncultured bacterium. RNAcentral describes it as "partial 16S ribosomal RNA". It matches the Rfam family "Bacterial small subunit ribosomal RNA", at positions 30 to 507 of the family's 1533-position model. The record is from RNAcentral.
AUUGAACGCUGGCGGCAUGCCUUACACAUGCAAGUCGAACGGCAGCAUGAUCUAGCUUGCUAGAUUGAUGGCGAGUGGCGAACGGGUGAGUAAUACAUCGGAACGUGCCCUGUAGUGGGGGAUAACUAGUCGAAAGAUUAGCUAAUACCGCAUACGACCUGAGGGUGAAAGUGGGGGACCGCAAGGCCUCAUGCUAUAGGAGCGGCCGAUGUCUGAUUAGCUAGUUGGUGAGGUAAAGGCUCACCAAGGCGACGAUCAGUAGCUGGUCUGAGAGGACGAUCAGCCACACUGGGACUGAGACACGGCCCAGACUCCUACGGGAGGCAGCAGUGGGGAAUUUUGGACAAUGGGCGAAAGCCUGAUCCAGCAAUGCCGCGUGUGUGAAGAAGGCCUUCGGGUUGUAAAGCACUUUUGUCCGGAAAGAGAUGGCUCUGGUUAAUACCUGGGGUCGAUGACGGUACCGGAAGAAUAAGGACCGGCUAACUACGUG